UACGGGGGGGGCAAGCGUUGUUCGGAAUUACUGGGCGUAAGGGGUGCGUAGGCGGCUCUCUAAGUUGGAUGUGAAAACUCUGGGCUCAACCCAGAGCCUGCAUCCAAAACUGGAGAGCUAGGGUUCUGGAGGGGAAAGCGGAAUUCCUGGUGUAGCGGUGAAACGCGUAGAUAUCAGGAGGAACACCGGUGGCGAAGGCGGCUUUCUGGACAGUAACUGACGCUGAGGCGCGAAAGCUAGGGGAGCAAACAGG
This 253-nucleotide ribosomal RNA is filed under the name uncultured bacterium. RNAcentral's name for it is "partial 16S ribosomal RNA". It matches the Rfam family "Bacterial small subunit ribosomal RNA", at positions 524 to 776 of the family's 1533-position model. The record is from RNAcentral.